UACGGAGGGUGCAAACGUUGCUCGGAAUCAUUGGGCGUAAAGCGCACGUAGGCGGUCUCUCAAGUCGAGUGUGAAAGCCCUCGGCUCAACCGAGGAAGUGCAUUCGAAACUGGGAGACUUGAGUACCGGAGAGGAUGGCGGAAUUCCCGGUGUAGAGGUGAAAUUCGUAGAUAUCGGGAGGAACACCAGCGGCGAAGGCGGCCAUCUGGACGGAUACUGACGCUGAGGUGCGAAAGCGUGGGGAGCAAACAGG
Molecule: ribosomal RNA, 253 nt
Filed under: uncultured bacterium
Lineage: Bacteria
Description: partial 16S ribosomal RNA
Rfam family: Bacterial small subunit ribosomal RNA
Source: RNAcentral